CGUAGCAAUACGUGGCAUACGGCUCAGUAACACGUAGUCAACAUGCCCAGGGGACGUGGAUAACCUCGGGAAACUGAGGAUAAACCGCGAUAGGCCAAGAUUUCUGGAAUGAAUCAUGGCUUAAAUCUAUAUGGCCCCUGGAUUGGACUGCGGCCGAUCAGGCUGUUGGUGAGGUAAUGGCCCACCAAACCUGUAACCGGUACGGGCUCUGAGAGGAGGAGCCCGGAGAUGGGCACUUAGACAAGGGCCCAGGCCCUAUGGGGCGCAGCAGGCGCGAAACCUCUGCAAUAAGCGAAAGCUUGACAGGGUUACUCUGAGUGAUUUCCGCUAAGGAAGUCUUUUGGCACCUGUAAAAAUGGUGCAGAAUAAGGGGUGGGCAAGUCUGGUGUCAGCCGCCGCGGUAAUACCAGCACCCCGAGUGGUCGGGACGAUUAUUGGGCCUAAAGCAUCCGUAGCCGGUCCUGCAAGUCCUCCGUUAAAUCCACCCGCUCAACGGUUGGGCCGCGGGGGAUACUACAGGGCUAGGAGGCGGGAGAGGCAAGCGGUACUCGAUGGGUAGGGGUAAAAUCCACUGAUCCAUUGAAGACCACCAGUGGCGAAGGCGGCUUGCCAGAACGCGCUCGACGGUGAGGGAUGAAAGCUGGGGGAGCAAACCGGAUUAGAUACCCGGGUAGUCCCAGCUGUAAACG
This 689-nucleotide ribosomal RNA is filed under the name uncultured Nitrososphaerota archaeon. RNAcentral describes it as "bacterial SSU rRNA". It matches the Rfam family "Archaeal small subunit ribosomal RNA", at positions 63 to 759 of the family's 1478-position model. The record is from RNAcentral. Lineage: Archaea; Thermoproteati; Nitrososphaerota.